UCUAACUACGUGGCAGGAGGCGGGGUAAUACGGUGGUGGCAAGCGUUGUCUGGAUUUAGUGGGCGUAAAGGGAGCGCAGGUGGUUUCGUAAGGCUGAUGUGAAAGCCCACGGCUUAACCGUGGAGGGUCAUUGGAAACUGGGAAACUUGAGUACAGAAGAGGAAUGUGGAACUCCAUGUGUAGCGGUGGAAUGCGUAGAUAUAUGGAAGAACACCAGUGGCGAAGGCGACAUUCUGGUCUGUUACUGACACUGAGGCUCGAAAGCGUGGGGAGCAAACAGGAUUAGAUACCCUGGUAGUC
RNAcentral lists this ribosomal RNA (300 nucleotides) under uncultured Methanosarcina sp. Its description in RNAcentral is "bacterial SSU rRNA". It matches the Rfam family "Bacterial small subunit ribosomal RNA", at positions 496 to 795 of the family's 1533-position model. Lineage: Archaea; Methanobacteriati; Methanobacteriota; Methanomicrobia; Methanosarcinales; Methanosarcinaceae. The record is from RNAcentral.